UGGUGUGUCUCACCCAUGCCUUUUUUCUUCUUCUUUUUUUCCUCCCCUCUCUUCCCUUUCUCUGCGCUGGUGGAUCGCCCGUAUGUGCGCCCGUGGGAGCACCGGCGGCGGCCCGCUCGCCCACCUACCGCACGCGCGCUCGGCCGAGGGACCUCCACCGUUUGCCUUCCCUCCAGCCGAGACCCGCCCUUGCGCCUCCCGCCAAGCAGCCUCCCGCCGAACCCGCCCUGCGCUGGUGGCCGGAGUGCCGCGCUCCCCUCCAGCGGCCUGCAGGCUCGAAGCCGGCGGCCGGGGUGCUCGCGCGCCUCCCCUCCAGCGGCCUGCAGGCUCGGACGCCGCCGCCGGGAGGAGCGCAGCCUGCGGGCUCGGCUGCAGCUGCCGGCACACGCGCGGGCUGCGGGCUGCACACGCCGCCGCCGGCCGCGCCGAGACGACCACCGUCAACACCACGAGGCUCUACGGUUUCGCAAUUUGCUUGGCUGCAGGCCUGACGUGCACCUCCUUGUGAUCCAGUCAAUGAUUGUUUUCUUCAAUACGGUGAAAUUUGGGGUAACAUUGACCCAUGGCAACUUGAUGGCCCUUGGAAGGUCAUUCUCCGACCUGGGAACUGUUGUGGAGAACUCUAAUUUUGAGCUCAUUGGUGACAGGUUAACUUUGAUGCAAAGACCGAAUAUCACAUGAUCCAGAACUACAAGAUUCUUCAGGAUGUGUUCAACAAGUUGCACAUAGUUAAGAAUGUAUCUGUAAGAAUUAACAGAUCCGGACGCAGCAUGUAUCUGUAAGAAUUUACAAUAAAAUUGUGUUUCAUUGAUCACAACGUCUUCAUGGUUCAUUUUGUUUGCCUUUUGCAUUAAUAAGCGUGUGACACUAGAAGUAGCAUCUAUGCACAAAAUCUAUGUAUCUGACCAUCUGCUCCUCGUAUGGUCAUUUUGCAGAUAUUAUUCUGAAGAUAAGAAUGGUGGUGGAAUCUCUGCAUUGAUUUUGUAGGGAUUGCAUUGAUAAAUCCAUGCGGCUUGGGUAUGUUCCUAGAUAUUCAUGUUACAACAUUUUCAGCUAGUAGUAACAAAAUUAACUUCCACAGUCUGCCAGUGAUACCUCAAAAAGCUUGUUGCUACGUCGGUGAGCUCUUCCCUUUUCCUUUCUUUUGGUUCAUUUUUUUUGUUCAAGUACUCUGUGUAACUUGGUAUUAUACAUCUCGGUUAAGCUUUGCAAUAGUUCAUAGCUCUGAAUUGCUUCAAAAAUGAAUCUAACACUUGCUGCUGAUUGCUUGAUUGAUUUUUUUUUACCAAUGACACCACUUCACCGAAGGCUUGCUGUUUUAUACUCCGAUAGACUUAAAAAUUAUACAGAGAUACUAAACAAUUCAAGGUAGCAUAAUUUACCAUUUGAACCAUGGUGCCACUGUUUCAAAAAUUGGAACUUUCGGAAACUAGAUGUCAUUUAUCGUGUGGAACUUUAAACAUACUAUCUUCUUGCAUUUUUCAAUGUUUCAAAGACAAGAGAAUAACCUAGCUACAUGAUUUCAGGGAAUGCAAAAAAUUUUGUGCAUCUUAGGCGGCCUCUGCUUUGAUAUUUUGAAGGCAUAUUCGUAUAUAACUCUUAUUUGUUCCCAAUGUUUGCAGAGGCAAAAAUUGCUCGAUGCUGUCGCACCCGGUGACCAUCUUGAUGUGGACAUUCAAAUGGAGGAAGGAAAUUUUACUCAGUGGAUGUGUUUGUGUAAUCAACAUAAUAGCUCUGUUUUUUGUGUGAAACAUAUAUUUUUCAAUUUGGUGUAUGGAUCAUAUGUUGUUUGGUGUAAGUUUGAAAUUUACCCGUGCCAUUAGCACGGGCACAUUACUAGUCAUCUUUAAA
Panicum virgatum (switchgrass) is the source of this 1851-nucleotide RNA transcript. RefSeq lists it as uncharacterized. The record is from RefSeq and is a predicted model, not a curated record. NCBI's taxonomy places the organism in Eukaryota, Viridiplantae, Streptophyta, Magnoliopsida, Poales, Poaceae. The transcript is spliced from 7 exons.